UACGAAGGGUGCAAGCGUUAAUCGGAAUUACUGGGCGUAAAGCGUGCGUAGGCGGUGAGUUAAGUCUGUCGUGAAAUCCCCGGGCUCAACCUGGGAAUGGCAGUGGAUACUGGCAAGCUAGAGUGUGUCAGAGGAUGGUGGAAUUCCCGGUGUAGCGGUGAAAUGCGUAGAGAUCGGGAGGAACAUCAGUGGCGAAGGCGGCCAUCUGGGACAACACUGACGCUG
This 225-nucleotide ribosomal RNA is filed under the name uncultured bacterium. RNAcentral's name for it is "partial 16S ribosomal RNA". It matches the Rfam family "Bacterial small subunit ribosomal RNA", at positions 524 to 748 of the family's 1533-position model. The record is from RNAcentral.